RNAcentral lists this ribosomal RNA (253 nucleotides) under uncultured bacterium. RNAcentral's name for it is "partial 16S ribosomal RNA". It matches the Rfam family "Bacterial small subunit ribosomal RNA", at positions 524 to 776 of the family's 1533-position model. The record is from RNAcentral.
UACGUAGGGUGCAAGCGUUGUCCGGAAUUAUUGGGCGUAAAGAGCUCGUAGGCGGUUUGUCGCGUCUGCUGUGAAAAUCCGAGGCUCAACCUCGGACUUGCAGUGGGUACGGGCAGACUAGAGUGUGGUGGGGGAGACUGGAAUUCCUGGUGUAGCGGUGGAAUGCGCAGAUAUCAGGAGGAACACCGAUGGCGAAGGCAGGUCUCUGGGCCAUUACUGACACUGAGAAGCGAAAGCAUGGGGAGCGAACAGG